ACGCUCGACACCUACGGGCAGCAGUGGGGAAUAUUGCACAAUGGGGGAAACCCUGAUGCAGCGACGCCGCGUGAGCGAAGAAGUAUUUCGGUAUGUAAAGCUCUAUCAGCAGGAAAGAAGAAAGACGGUACCUGACUAAGAAGCCCCGGCUAACUACGUGCCAACAGCCGCGGUAAUCUGAGCGGGCUGGCAAGGC
Molecule: ribosomal RNA, 196 nt
Filed under: uncultured bacterium
Lineage: Bacteria
Description: partial 16S ribosomal RNA
Rfam family: Bacterial small subunit ribosomal RNA
Source: RNAcentral